This 223-nucleotide ribosomal RNA is filed under the name Chionoecetes opilio (snow crab). Its description in RNAcentral is "partial 28S ribosomal RNA". It matches the Rfam family "Eukaryotic large subunit ribosomal RNA", at positions 78 to 272 of the family's 3401-position model. RNAcentral also lists the same sequence under 2 other names. Lineage: Eukaryota; Metazoa; Arthropoda; Malacostraca; Decapoda; Majidae. The record is from RNAcentral.
CCUCAGUAAGGGCGACUGAAACGGGAAAAGCUCAGCGCAUAACCUGGCGUCGUGACCCGGCGCCAGGGGUGUUGCGUUUCGGAGGGUCCGGCACGCAGUCUCUCACCGCCUAAGUUAUGCUUGAAAGCGGCCACUACCCAUGGAGGGUGACAGGCCCGUGUGGCGGCGCCCGCGAGGGUACACGAGAGAUUGUCGGAAAGGGCCUCUCCGUAGAGUCGGGUUG